RNAcentral lists this ribosomal RNA (459 nucleotides) under uncultured bacterium. RNAcentral's name for it is "partial 16S ribosomal RNA". It matches the Rfam family "Bacterial small subunit ribosomal RNA", at positions 338 to 795 of the family's 1533-position model. The record is from RNAcentral.
CCUACGAGAGGCAGCAGUGAGGAAUAUUGGUCAAUGGUCGGGAGACUGAACCAGCCAAGCCGCGUGAGGGAGGAAGGUACAGAGUAUCGUAAACCUCUUUUGUCAGGGAACAAAGGCGGGGACGUAUCCCCGGAUGAGUGUACCUGAAGAAAAAGCAUCGGCUAACUCCGUGCCAGCAGCAGCUGUAAUACGGAGGAUGCGAGGGUUAUCCGGAUUUAUUGGGUUUAAGGGGUUCGCAGGCGGUCUGUUAAGUCAGCGGUCAAAGCCCGGGGCCAAACCCCGGCCCGCCGUUGAAACUGGCAGUCGCGAGUUGGAGAGAAGUAUGCGGAAUGCGCGGUGUAGCGGUGAAAUGCAUAGAUAUCGCGCAGAACUCCGAUUGCGAAGGCAGCAUGCCGGCUCCACACUGACGCUGAGGCACGAAAGCGUGGGUAUCGAACAGGAUUAGAUACCCCAGUAGUC